Molecule: ribosomal RNA, 440 nt
Filed under: uncultured bacterium
Lineage: Bacteria
Description: partial 16S ribosomal RNA
Rfam family: Bacterial small subunit ribosomal RNA
Source: RNAcentral
CCUACGGGGGGCAGCAGUAGGGAAUAUUGCUCAAUGGGGGAAACCCUGAAGCAGCAACGCCGCGUGGAGGAUGAAGGUUUUCGGAUUGUAAACUCCUUUUGUUAGAGAAGAUAAUGACGGUAUCUAACGAAUAAGCACCGGCUAACUCCGUGCCAGCAGCCGCGGUAAUACGGAGGGUGCAAGCGUUACUCGGAAUCACUGGGCGUAAAGAGCGCGUAGGCGGGAUAGCAAGUCAGAUGUGAAAUCCUAUGGCUUAACCAUAGGACUGCAUUUGAAACUGUUAUUCUAGAGUAUGGGAGAGGUAAGUGGAAUUCUUGGUGUAGGGGUAAAAUGCGUAGAGAUCAAGAGGAAUACUCAUUGCGAAGGCGACCUGCUAGAACAUAACUGACGCUGAUGCGCGAAAGCGUGGGGAGCAAACAGGAUUAGAUACCCCGGUAGUC